GGCUUUUWGAAUAUAAUUUAAAGUYUGCCYKCCCCCUGAUUAAUUAAAUGGCCGCAGUAUUUUGACUGUGCAAAGGUAGCAUAAUCAUUAGUUUUUUAAUUGAAAGCUAGAAUGAAUGGUUUGAUGAAAAAUUAACUGUCUUUAUUAAAUUAAUUGAAUUUUAUUUUUAAGUAAAAAAGCUUAAAUAAUUUUAAAAGACGAGAAGACCCUAUAGAGUUUUAUAUUAAGAUUUGAAUUAGAAAUUUAGAUUUAAUUUUUAAAUAAAAUAUAAUAUUUAAUUGGGGCGAUUGAAAAAUUUAAUUAACUUUUUUUUUUUAAAACAUUUAUAUAUGAAGUAUUGAUCCAUUAAUAGUGAUUAAAAGAUAAAUUACCUUAGGGAUAACAGCGUUAUUUUAUUAGAGAGUUCUUAUUGAUAAUAAAGUUUGCGACCUCGAUGUUGGAUUAAAAUUUAAUUUUGGKGUAAAAGCUAAAUAUUUAAGUCUGUUCGACUUUUAAAAUUUUACA
This 504-nucleotide ribosomal RNA is filed under the name Telephanus sp. BYU CO758. RNAcentral describes it as "partial 16S ribosomal RNA". The stretch from base 378 to 504 matches the Rfam family "Bacterial large subunit ribosomal RNA", at positions 2473 to 2600 of the family's 2925-position model. The record is from RNAcentral. Lineage: Eukaryota; Metazoa; Arthropoda; Insecta; Coleoptera; Silvanidae.